AUGAACACUUGGGUGCAACCAUUCUGUUGUCACAACUUCAUAAUGACCUUACUAACAAGCUGGAUAUCAGCACCAACAGCAUUUCUUCUCUUACAUUUUUGGAGAGCAAAGGUACAUGCUUCUGGAAACCCAGAAGAGGAAAUAGAUUACACAUAUGUUGUUAUAGGAGUUACUCUGGGAGCAGUUCUGGCAAUCGCUUUUGUAGCAGUAAUAAUCUGCAUGAUCAAAGCCAAAAUUAUUGACAGUGACUUUGGAGAGUCAGAUGGCAAAAUGGAAAGAAGGUCAAACACGGGAUCGAGCCAAAACAGAUGA
Molecule: long non-coding RNA, 312 nt
Filed under: Taeniopygia guttata (zebra finch)
Lineage: Eukaryota; Metazoa; Chordata; Aves; Passeriformes; Estrildidae
Description: lncRNA (ENSTGUG00000025610.1)
Source: RNAcentral